GCAAUACUGAAGAGUGCCAGACUAGGACGAAACGGCCGUCCAUUGU
This is a non-coding RNA of Schistosoma curassoni, 46 nucleotides long. The record is from Rfam. Lineage: Eukaryota; Metazoa; Platyhelminthes; Trematoda; Strigeidida; Schistosomatidae.